CAGGGCUCCGUCUGAAAUAUAAAAGCGUAUUUAGUGUUCUAAAACAAUGUAUGCUCCGUAAACAAUAGAUCGCAAUGUGGAUGUUCAAGUACUCCUUUAUCAAAUAAACCCUUAUUAUCGUCGACUUGUACAGGAGCCUCACGCCACCCUUAGUGCCACAGGACUGAUUAAAACCUCCUCUACACAUUCUCAACUCUAUUUUUAAAUUUAUCUCCGGUAUAAUUGACUUCACAUUUCCAAUCUCAUUAAUCAGCACCACUCCUUGAGAGGGGAAUAGCCAAAUACUGGGAACGGUUAAAGAAUCCUCCCAUACCUGUAAAGGAAGUGAUGCGCCUUACUGAAACUGAAAUAACGGAGCGCCCCUCUUUCGGAGUUAGCCCGGAAAUGAAGUUGAGAAGCCUUCCCGGGAAGGGGGGCCGAAUUCCUUCUUUGAGCAUUGUGAUCUGACUCAAAAAGAGGGUGACCAGGGUGGCCCUGAUGCACUGAGAUGGUGACCAUCCACUGCUCUGACCUACUCUCAGCUCUCUGCGAGACAUGGUGCUUCCAGGUGCAUGUGCCAGAUGCUAGGAGUUCCACCCAUCAUUCCUGCCUGGAAACACGCAGUGCCUUUGGUGGCCAGGUUCUCCUGCAAGGGCAGACGCCUGCGGACCCGUCUCCUCGCCAGGCCAGCUCCUUUAUUCAUCCUUUUCUCCCAGCGGAUCCAAGUGUGAUCCUAGCUGUCUUCUAG
Molecule: long non-coding RNA, 727 nt
Filed under: Ursus maritimus (polar bear)
Lineage: Eukaryota; Metazoa; Chordata; Mammalia; Carnivora; Ursidae
Description: lncRNA (ENSUMAG00000007261.1)
Source: RNAcentral